GAGAGAGGACUGAAAACUGAUGGAGACUGCUAACUACCAUCACCCCGGCUAAAUUCCAGGGCUCACUCG
This 69-nucleotide transfer RNA is filed under the name Squalogadus modificatus (tadpole whiptail). RNAcentral describes it as "tRNA-Ser(AGY)". The record is from RNAcentral. Lineage: Eukaryota; Metazoa; Chordata; Actinopteri; Gadiformes; Macrouridae.